GUGUUGAUUCUAAGGAUACCCCCAAUAAACAUCUUUCGUGCUAAAGCCCAUUCCAGAAUUUACUUCCCAGCUAUCUUUGAUGUUCAUAUUGUCAGAGGUGGUGGCCGCUGAAACAGGCAAAGACAUGGAGCAUAUCUUGGGUCCAGGACCUUGGGAGUCCAGAGGAAGGUCUUUUUACCAUCAGCAUUCUCUACUGUGUUCAAUGACUGUCAGCCAAAGAUGGCCAGGUUCUCUACUGUGAUGGUGAAUUUUAUGUGUCAAUUUGACUGGACCAUGGGAUGCCCAGCUUUCCUUCAGAAAGAAAUGCAUUCAAAGAACCUACAUUCACAACAUAAAGAAAUAAAGCCUGCACCUACAGAUCUACACACAUGCCCAUGCACAUGCAGGAAGUGUUCAUCUAAGACUGGACCUUUUAGAAGAAAGCUGGCAUACAUUCGUGAAGGCAUGGGCUUCCAGGCAUGUCAUCUUCACUCACGAAGCACACACAAGACCGCCAAGCAUUAAGAUUCUCCUGUGGAGCCAGGCUACAAUCCUUUAAAUGAAGACAGACAGCUAGGUGGCUGCAGCCCAGCGCUACACCUCACCCCUCCCUCAGUGUCAUGCAGAAAAAAUGUAUUCAGAACUCAGAAGUGAAGUUGUGCAAAUCCAUCAUUGACACUAGCUUCAAGGUUACCUCGGGGGAGCAGAAUGUACCCCUGCCAGAGAGCUGGAUAGAUGAUGAUGGGGACAGAAAUUCUGGGGGAGUUGUAAAUGGCAGCCACUGCCUCUAUAGGAAACCCAAAGGGAACACAGCAGAAGAGGAGGUGGUGGAGGAGCCACUGCCCUCUCGAAGGGUUCAAUGUCAUUCUGCAGACACAACCAAAUAACUUUUUCUUCCCUGCUGCUCCUCCAUUUGAAAUGACAGCCCCGAGCUCGCUUUUUCCUUGAUUGUGUAACUCUGAUUACAGACAAGGCCAAGGCAAUCCCAGGGCAUUACUACAAAGCUAAGGGGUCCCCAAAGAACUAAAGAGUCAGCUCCACAAAAAUCCCGAUUCCUAGCAUGAAACUGAAAUAUGAAACCAAACGGGCAUAGAAAAGGUAUGUGCAUUCGAAUCACAUAGCAGUGACUGGAGUCCUGAGCUGUGUCUGAAGACUGUGAGAUCACGUUUGGAGCUGCUGAUUGGUUUUCAGUGAUGGCCCUGUUGCACAGUGCCGUGAGACUUAGCUCCAUGGCCAAAGACGAUGGUAUCCCCUAGGAGCCCUGUGAGGUUGCUGCUGUUCUCUUAAGACACCAGGUAGCCAUCUGAUCCUCCCUGAGCAAACUAACUGGGCAGACAGGUUUAUUAAACCUCUGUUGGUCCGACUUACAUGAAACAAGAGAGUUAUUUUGUUGUUGUUGUUUUGUUUUGUUUUAAAUUAAACCUGUCUUUGGAGCCUCCUG
This 1420-nucleotide long non-coding RNA is filed under the name Homo sapiens (human). Its description in RNAcentral is "non-protein coding LINC00922:6". The record is from RNAcentral. Lineage: Eukaryota; Metazoa; Chordata; Mammalia; Primates; Hominidae.